Long non-coding RNA from Humulus lupulus (European hop), 606 nucleotides. RefSeq lists it as uncharacterized. The record is from RefSeq and is a predicted model, not a curated record. The transcript has 3 exons. Lineage: Eukaryota; Viridiplantae; Streptophyta; Magnoliopsida; Rosales; Cannabaceae.
GCUAAACUUAUUUUUCCUAUUAAGGAUGAGAUCAUUUUUGUACGUCAUGCUGUCGGUUACUUUGUUGAGUGGCCAUCUCAUCUGAUCAUUCCAUACGAUUCAAAUUUGCUACCUAAGAAGACAAAGAAGCAAAAAAGAAAUAGUUCACCAAUACCUAAUGCCCCAAUGACACAAGACAAGUCUCAUCCUUCCUAGUCAAAAUGAAGUAGUGUCAAGUAAAGCUAGUGCCCCGAUACUCUUCAAGAUUCCUAGUGGGGUUCCUCACUCUCUCAAGUGUUUAUUAACUACUGUGAAGUAUGUGGAGCCAAGUUUCAUGGUCAAAGUUCCGAUGAAUUUCGAGAUAUUAGGUCAUGAGAAUGAUUUAUAUAUCUCACAAGAAGAUAUAGUCCACUUUGGCUUAAUGGAGGAGAUUGAAGCAUCAUGUAUAUCGUUAUAUAUCAGGAUUUUAUACUUCCAAUUAGUGAAAAGAGAGAUCAGUCACUUUUUUCGUUUUGUUGAGCCAAUUUGGUUAUCAAAUGUUGGAUCCACUGAAGAAGAACGAGUUGAAUGGGUAUCAAAGCGUAUGAUUGAUUCAAAUCCAGGUCAAAUGUGGUUGUUGCCAUAUCA